CCAACAGUUUGCUCUGCCAGCACCACCACAACUAUCAGUAAGGAUGGCGCUGUUGCGAGAGCAAGAAGCGUGCGAUCAAAAUGCAUGAUAGGCGACAACCAUUACCUACGCCAGUGGUGACUGGAUGACAAGACUCAGCUCUCACCUUUGUCAACAUCUUGCUGGGCACAGAUCGAACGCUGUAGCUCAAUUUUUACCAAUUCCGGCUCAAAAGUCAAUGUCGAUUUUUCUACAAUACGUAUUUUUAUGUUUUUACUCUAAAUAUAUAGCGGAAGCAGCUUGAAAGCUGUUUGUGUUUCGUCUCUUUCAUCAAAACAAUUUGCCCAGCCUGUCGAAUUUCCCCAGAUUCUUUGAGUCUCUGAUGACUUUAUUCAGAUACUUGUUUCCUUUGACCGAAUUUGAGAUCGUUGUGAUGCUCUCCCAGUCUAUUUCCUUUCACACUGGAUUUCCUUUGUAGCCCCA
Molecule: small RNA, 462 nt
Filed under: Histoplasma ohiense
Lineage: Eukaryota; Fungi; Ascomycota; Eurotiomycetes; Onygenales; Ajellomycetaceae
Description: hypothetical lncRNA
Source: RNAcentral